UUUUAUACUAUCCAACAACUGACUUACAUUACUAUCAAUGGUAUCAAUCAUCCAUUCUUGACAGGAGCACCCCCGCUGGAUUUACCAAGCCGCUAAGUAAGUCAGUCAGUCAGUCAGGCAGGCAGGCAGGCAGGCAGACAGGCAAGCAAGGAAGCAAGGAAGCAAGCAAGGAAGCAAGCAAGCAAGCAGGCAACCAACCAUGCAGGGAUAAAUUAGUUUUCGUACUGCCACCACCUACCAAAAUCCUCAUAGGUUGAUUCGUGAAAUUGCAAAACUCUGUUCUCCUUGAUUGGUUAUCUUGUUGUCGAGGGUCUCAUUUAUAAUCUGGAAACGUCUGUUAUCAAACUUUUCUGAGUAAAUCGAUGAAAAUCAAAAGGAAAUACAACAACCGAAGACUUAAAUAAGGCUCAUCUGUGCUUUCUUCAUCAGCAGUAUUUCAGCACCUUCUUGCAUUUGCAUCUGCAAGGAACCGCAACUGCAUAGAUGCUCGUGUACUGGGCGUACCGAUGGGGAAGAUGCGAGGGAGCUUAUUUUGCAUGCACUUUGCCAUCUGGAAUUUAUGCAUUACCACAGAAGUAAGAGGAGCAGGAAGGUCUUUCACUGUCGGAUGCUGUACAGAGAAUCUACAGGCAUUUGCGUCGUGUAAUUUAAUUUCUGAAAAGAUUUUCUCCCGCCGUGAACCUUUCGAUUUUAUUUACGACAGCUGCUUCUAUUGCUGGAAGUUCCCUGCCGAGCUUAAUGGAGCUUGGACGGUCAGGGCUGACGGGUGAGACCUGAAAGGCUCCUUGACUCACUAUAUUCGUGUACUAUUUUUAUGGUAAAUAAAUAUAUACAAAUAUAAACUCACAUAAACUAUGCAAGUCUUACAAAUAUGUACGAAAUCGAUAGUAUACAUUACACAAAUGCUUAUUUGCUGUCCUGGCAACCGAUAGCAAUACAUACAUACACAGAUCGCUGGAAUUUUAAUUUCGCACCACGAUGUAGUCCCUUAGCUGGUCUAUCGAUCGGAAAGACUGGCAAGUAAUCCUGCAGCAGGUAGAUAUUCUCGAUGGGAAUGUAUGAAUGGAGUAAAGGAAAGUGAAAGAGGAAAAGCCGCAAAUGGUAAUAAAUUACCGGAACAUUGAUACUUCCCAAAAAGCAGAUGACGAGGUGGCUUAUUAAUUUAAAAAGUCUAGAGGAAUGAAAAGUAAAAAAGUAGCUGUUUGGAUUUGAUACCAUAAAGAAUCUGGGCAAUGAAGGAGCUAAUCAAGUGGAACGUUCUGCAAAUAGCACUGAAUAUCUAGGAGAUGUGAUUCCUGUAGCAAUGGAAAGUGGUUGAGCUUUAUGAUUUAUCACACAAGGAAUUCCAUAACCUCAAAACUCAUCGAGCUAAAAUGUUGCUGGCAUGAGUUGGCGAAUAGUAAGCAAAGCUCGUUUAACAAAUUCUCCACAUGUACUGUAUUACUCAUGGUACAGUAGGAGCCCAUCGACGUGAAAGGUCUGUUCGACGUCUGGGAAGCAAAACUAACUUACCGAGAGUGUCAGACAUUGGAUAACGGGACGGCCUAUGUCAUGGAUUUAGAAACAAAGGAUGAGAGAUGGUAUACUUAUUGAGAAAGUAUAGUUCAGGUGAAUAUUCACGCGUGCACCUACACUUCUGGGUGAUUUAAAAUAAUUGACGUAAUCUCAUUUGUCACAAUAUGAAUUUACGGAACACCCAGUAGAAGAUUUAUUCAAACGACUGUAUUGUUAUUGACAAGAAGCAAAGUUCGAAGGAAAAUUAAUUAACUCUUGUUUGACAUGUAUUUGAUUACUUGGAUAUUGGUUUGUACUCAGAAGCAAGUAUGAAAAAGAAUUGCAUUUCAAACUGUUAAUGUCAAUGUGUACCAAUCAGCUAUGUUCCUACAGCGGCUAUUUUACAAUUUUCGAGCAUUGCCUAACAAUUUAUAAUUAAAACAAAUAAUCGCGUAAUUUAAAGAUUCACGAGAUAUUGCCAAUCUGUGUAACUUUUUAACUGUUCUGUACUUAAUUCUAUGUAAUCAUUGUAUAUAAUUAUCAUUUUACACAGUACACUAGUUAUGUAUAAGAGGCUCAUAAUAAUCGUCAUGUCUUUAAUGCGUUCUUGCACGAUAUAGGGCAUUUUGAGUAAUUCGUUGUUCUUAUUUCUAUUUCACCAGAAUAAUGGUCUAGCAAGUAUUGCGGUUUAUCGAUCAACUGUAAUACGUUCUAAGAAAAGUAAUGUCAUAGCGCGAGCGUGCUACGAAGUUUCUAUGAAUUUCUGGCAGGUCGGUGCGCUUUGCCGAGAAAUAACAAAAUGGUACAUUCGCUUGGUAUUUUGUCACUUUCGAAGUUAGUCGUGUACAGUAGUGCAGAAGCCAUUUAGAUUUGCUAAUGUCGCUUGGUAAAAAAUAUCUCGACAAUUGAAUCACGUGACGGCCUUGUAUAGCAAUAC
Long non-coding RNA from Cephus cinctus (wheat stem sawfly), 2431 nucleotides. RefSeq lists it as uncharacterized. The record is from RefSeq and is a predicted model, not a curated record. NCBI's taxonomy places the organism in Eukaryota, Metazoa, Arthropoda, Insecta, Hymenoptera, Cephidae. The transcript has 5 exons.